This 275-nucleotide unclassified non-coding RNA is filed under the name Hevea brasiliensis (rubber tree). Lineage: Eukaryota; Viridiplantae; Streptophyta; Magnoliopsida; Malpighiales; Euphorbiaceae. The record is from RNAcentral.
CUCAUUUUUAUUAUCAGUCACACGACUUACAUCUGUGAAAACGGCUCGCAUAGCACACCAAAACAACAAGAGAGAGAAAACAAGCUUUAAUUAAACACAAAGCACAAGCAGCAGAAAUCAAUGGAUUUGAACCUCCUUCAAAUCCUUUUUAGGCUGUUCAGUCCUGGGAAUGGUAAUAUGGAGAACCCCAUUCUUCAACUCGGCUUUAAUAUCAUCAACUUUAGCAUCAUCAGGCAGCAAAACACCGGUGUUAUAGUAUCCAUAGCUCCUCAUUG